RNAcentral lists this ribosomal RNA (497 nucleotides) under uncultured bacterium. RNAcentral's name for it is "partial 16S ribosomal RNA". It matches the Rfam family "Bacterial small subunit ribosomal RNA", at positions 28 to 507 of the family's 1533-position model. The record is from RNAcentral.
GAUGAACGCUGGCGGCGUGCCUAAUACAUGCAAGUCGAGCGAACAGACGAGGAGCUUGCUCCUCUGACGUUAGCGGCGGACGGGUGAGUAACACGUGGAUAACCUACCUAUAAGACUUGGAUAACUUCGGGAAACCGGAGCUAAUACCGGAUAAUAUAUUGAACCGCAUGGUUCAAUAGUUAAAGACGGUUUUGCUGUCACUUAUAGAUGGAUCCGCGCCGCAUUAGCUAGUUGGUAAGGUAACGGCUUACCAAGGCGACGAUGCGUAGCCGACCUGAGAGGGUGAUCGGCCACACUGGAACUGAGACACGGUCCAGACUCCUACGGGAGGCAGCAGUAGGGAAUAUUCCGCAAUGGGCGAAGGCCUGACGGAGCAACGCCGCGUGAGUGAUGAAGGUCUUCGGAUCGUAAAACUCUGUUAUUAGGGAAGAAAAAAUGUGUAAGUAACUAUGCACGUCUUGACGGUACCUAAUCAGAAAGCAACGGCUAACUACGUG